AUUGAACGCUGGCGGCAGGCCUAACACAUGCAAGUCGAACGGUAGCACAGAGAGCUUGCUCUCGGGUGACGAGUGGCGGACGGGUGAGUAAUGUCUGGGAAACUGCCCGAUGGAGGGGGAUAACUACUGGAAAUGGUAGCUAAUACCGCAUAACGUCGCAAGACCAAAGUGGGGGACCUUCGGGCCUCACACCAUCGGAUGUGCCCAGAUGGGAUUAGCUAGUAGGUGGGGUAAUGGCUCACCUAGGCGACGAUCCCUAGCUGGUCUGAGAGGAUGACCAGCCACACUGGAACUGAGACACGGUCCAGACGCCUACGGGAGGCAGCAGUGGGGAAUAUUGCACAAUGGGCGCAAGCCUGAUGCAGCCAUGUCGCGUGUAUGAAGAAGGCCUUCGGGUUGUAAAGUACUUUCAGCGGGGAGGAAGGCGGUGAAGUUAAUAACUUCACCGAUUGACGUUACCCGCAGAAGAAGCACCGGCUAACUCCGUGCCAGCCGCCGCGGUAA
This 504-nucleotide ribosomal RNA is filed under the name uncultured bacterium. RNAcentral's name for it is "partial 16S ribosomal RNA". It matches the Rfam family "Bacterial small subunit ribosomal RNA", at positions 30 to 523 of the family's 1533-position model. The record is from RNAcentral.